GUGAAUCAUCGAAUCUUUGAACGCACAUUGCGCCCGCCAGCACUCUGGCGGGCAUGCCUGUUCGAGCGUCAUUUCAACCCCUCAAGCCCUGGGCUUGGUGUUGGGGAUCGACCACAACCCCCCCUAGGGGGGCGGUCGGCCCUGAAAUACAGUGGCGGACCCGCCGCGGCCCCCUCUGCGUAGUAGCACACCUCGCACUGGAGAGCGGCGCGGCCCACGCCCGCAACCACCAUACUUUUACAGGUUGACCUCGAAUCAGGUAGGAAUACCCGCUGAACUUAAGCAUAUCAAUAAGCGGAGGA
This 302-nucleotide unclassified non-coding RNA is filed under the name Ascomycota sp. RNAcentral's name for it is "partial contains 5.8S ribosomal RNA, internal transcribed spacer 2, and large subunit ribosomal RNA". The stretch from base 1 to 71 matches the Rfam family "5.8S ribosomal RNA", at positions 84 to 154 of the family's 154-position model. Lineage: Eukaryota; Fungi; Ascomycota. The record is from RNAcentral.